Molecule: transfer RNA, 75 nt
Filed under: Priestia megaterium
Lineage: Bacteria; Bacillati; Bacillota; Bacilli; Caryophanales; Bacillaceae
Description: Bacillus megaterium tRNA-Ile
Rfam family: tRNA (bases 6-64)
About the family: Transfer RNA (tRNA) molecules are approximately 80 nucleotides in length. Their secondary structure includes four short double-helical elements and three loops (D, anti-codon, and T loops). Further hydrogen bonds mediate the characteristic L-shaped molecular structure. tRNAs have two regions of fundamental functional importance: the anti-codon, which is responsible for specific mRNA codon recognition, and the 3' end, to which the tRNAs corresponding amino acid is attached (by aminoacyl-tRNA synthetases). tRNAs cope with the degeneracy of the genetic code in two manners: having more than one tRNA (with a specific anti-codon) for a particular amino acid; and 'wobble' base-pairing, i.e. permitting non-standard base-pairing at the 3rd anti-codon position.
Source: RNAcentral
GCCAUUAGCUCAGCUGGUUAGAGCGCACGCCUGAUAAGCGUGAGGUCGGUGGUUCGAGUCCUACCUGUGGAGCCA